AGUGAACGCUGGCGGUAGGCCUAACACAUGCAAGUCGAACGGCAGCACAGUAAGAGCUUGCUCUUACGGGUGGCGAGUGGCGGACGGGUGAGGAAUACAUCGGGAUCUACUUUUUCGUGGGGGAUAACGUAGGGAAACUUACGCUAAUACCGCAUACGACCUACGGGUGAAAGCAGGGGAUCUUCGGACCUUGCGCGAUUGAAUGAGCCGAUGUCGGAUUAGCUAGUUGGCGGGGUAAAGGCCCACCAAGACGACGAUCCGUAGCUGGUCUGAGAGGAUGAUCAGCCACACUGGAACUGAGACACGGUCCAGACUCCUACGGGAGGCAGCAGUGGGGAAUAUUGGACAAUGGGCGCAAGCCUGAUCCAGCCAUACCGCGUGGGUGAAGAAGGCCUUCGGGUUGUAAAGCCCUUUUGUUGGGAAAGAAAAGCAGCAGGUUAAUACCCCGCUGUUCUGACGGUACCCAAAGAAUAAGCACCGGCUAACUUCGUG
Molecule: ribosomal RNA, 492 nt
Filed under: uncultured bacterium
Lineage: Bacteria
Description: partial 16S ribosomal RNA
Rfam family: Bacterial small subunit ribosomal RNA
Source: RNAcentral